CCGCUGAGGACGAAGAAAAGUCGCCAGCGGCUGCUGCUCCUGAGGAUGAAGAAGAUCGACCGGAUGCAGCUGCUGAGAGGUUGUCAUUGCCGAUCGCAACGGCGCAGAAAACAACAAGAAUCGCCGAAUCGCCGAAUCGCCGAAUCGCCAGGGAGCAGAAAAGAAAACAGAGGAAAGAGCGACAAAUGACCGGACUGACUGGGGGCAUCCAUAUUUAUAGUAAAUCGAAACCAAAUGGGUUUAGGAUUCGGAGGCGGUGCUCCGACUCCGGCCGGGUUUCCGGUCACCGCACUCUAUUUUUAUUUUAUUAUUAUUAUUUUAUUUUUAUUUUAUUCGUAGCGUUGAAAGCAAGCAAUUCAUUUGAAAUGCUGCGGCGCUGCGACUCCGGCUAGGGUUUCGAUCACCGCCGCCAAUUACGAUUUUUCAAGAGACUGACUCACUCCGGCUAGGUUUUCGAUCACCGCCGCCAAUUACAAGAGACCAUGGGAAAGUGCAAGCAGAGAGAUCAAACGGGUUUUCUCAUAGGAACUACAGCUUGGGUGCGACGCUCCAGAGGCGUACAGUAAAGAUGGGGCAAAGGAUAACAGCAACAGGGAGACACUCUCAUAUGGCAGAAAUCCACGAUCAUGCAUCUCAUCCACUCAUGGCAGAUGCUCAAAGAAGAACUAUAUCAUCUGGAAAUUCUCAAGAUUAUAUCCAUUCCCUUGAGCGAAGUAACCAGCAGAAUCAGGCACUCUCUCAGAGCUUGCUUUCGGUAGCUUUCCGCCUAAUUAUGUAGAAAAGGAUACUGAGGAACUUUAUCAGGAUUCAGAGCAUGAAACUGUUGAAGAACUAACUAGCAUGCAGAAGCUGGAGAUCGAGGACAAUUACUCUGAACGAAAACACGCCAGGUGAAGAGGGAUCAUUGGUGUCUGCCGAAGUAAAAAAGAUGGUGGCGCUUACUAGCAUUUCAAGUUCGAAGGGCAUACAGGUUGAUAUGAACUUUAGAAUAUUAGUAACUGCUCUUACACUACUAAGCAUUUUUGGAAGUGCCUCUUAUUUGAGGAAUAAACCAGUUGGUCAGAUUGUGUGACGAAAUAUCUAAUCUACUUGAUGUUGGCUUCUGAUUGAGUAGUUUGGGCUAAUUCUUAAUGCAACCGAUACUUUAUUCACCAGAUAUGUUCUUUCUAACUUUAGUUGGACACUGUUUGAGAAAUCCUUAAAGAGCCAACCUAUUCGAGUUAAUUGUGUUAUCAGGUUGAGAUUAUGCUGCCCUGGACUACAUUUACAAUCUUUUUUUUCUCAUAAGAUUAGCACUCUCUCCGCGGCUUUGGCAUUGGGAACAAGGAAAGCAUUGCAAGAUUGCUAUGGGCAUUCUUCCAUUACUGGGUAUCAUCAUGAUUAUACAAAUGAUGUUAUAUCUAUUCGCACAGGGAGCAUCAUCAGGUAAUGUCAUUCGUAUUUUCUCGACACGAGUUCUUCAGACUUUUGCAGUUUGGUAAUUACUCCUCGGCUGGAAAUGUCUAGCUUAGUAUGGAAAUGUAUGUCUAGCUUAGUAUUUGUUUCUAUUGUUCUUUCUAAUGCAGAUCGAAUUUGAAGUUUUCCUUGUCUACAGCAUCUUCAUUUCUUGAUUCUCCAUUCAGCAGUAUUGUUGUAUUUGUUCGUAUUAGCGGAUCGAGAUCCUUUUCGUUUAUACUUCUCGCUUCAUUCUAACUUAUCCAUCUUGUUAUAACUUUCAGUGAGCAAGAAAAGGACUGGACGCGGCGAAUUGGAAAUGACUGUCACCUAAUAUGCAUCGAAGACCCGUUCAAUAUCUCGCACGACCUUGGUCGAUCGAGUAGUCGACAAGUACAGCAUCAAAAUCCUAAGGGAAGAGUUUGAACGAGCUGCUGACAUAAUGCAAUGCGACCCAACUCCCACCGUCACCCUUUUCCAACCUUAUGAACCAGGAUCCCCGCAGAGGCAAAUCAGCAGGAGCUAGGUGAAUGAUAUUCAACACUGAAUGCUAAAUAUGUAUAUUCCUCUCUGAGAAGCAGUGUUCUUUCAGCUCCUUUGUGUAUAGAUUGUACUGUGUCAUGGAUGAUUCCUGUUUUUGUAACUUAUUUCCUAGGUGAGUCGAUUAGGGAUAAAAUAGGAUAAAAUAAAAUUAUUAUAGGUAGAAGAGGUUGAGCUUCCAUAUAAUGAUGAAAUUACUAUCGUGUGUGAUUUCAAGAUCAUGAAAAUGAC
RNA transcript from Zingiber officinale, 2205 nucleotides. It is a transcript of the gene named UTP:RNA uridylyltransferase 1-like, with no coding region annotated. The transcript is spliced from 2 exons. Lineage: Eukaryota; Viridiplantae; Streptophyta; Magnoliopsida; Zingiberales; Zingiberaceae. The record is from RefSeq and is a predicted model, not a curated record.